This 465-nucleotide ribosomal RNA is filed under the name Vreelandella stevensii. Its description in RNAcentral is "partial 16S ribosomal RNA". It matches the Rfam family "Bacterial small subunit ribosomal RNA", at positions 338 to 795 of the family's 1533-position model. The record is from RNAcentral. Lineage: Bacteria; Pseudomonadati; Pseudomonadota; Gammaproteobacteria; Oceanospirillales; Halomonadaceae.
CCUACGGGCGGCAGCAGUGGGGAAUAUUGGACAAUGGGCGAAAGCUUGAUCCAGCCAUGCCGCGUGUGUGAAGAAGGCCUUCGGGUUGUAAAGCACUUUCAGUGGGGAAGAAAGCCUUGGGGCUAAUACCCUCGAGGAAGGACAUCACCCACAGAAGAAGCACCGGCUAACUCCGUGCCAGCAGCCGCGGUAAUACGGAGGGUGCGAGCGUUAAUCGGAAUUACUGGGCGUAAAGCGCGCGUAGGCGGUCUGAUAAGCCGGUUGUGAAAGCCCCGGGCUCAACCUGGGAACGGCAUCCGGAACUGUCAGGCUAGAGUGCAGGAGAGGAAGGUAGAAUUCCCGGUGUAGCGGUGAAAUGCGUAGAGAUCGGGAGGAAUACCAGUGGCGAAGGCGGCCUUCUGGACUGACACUGACGCUGAGGUGCGAAAGCGUGGGUAGCAAACAGGAUUAGAUACCCCAGUAGUC